UGAUAUAGAUGCUGUGCUGCGAAUAUAUCUAUCGAAUACCAAGGAUACAUGGUACUGUUGGUGGGAACCUGGUGUUAUAAAGGUCUACUCAAUAAAGAGAGAACUGCAGGGAAUUGUGAUGGGAAUUUCAAACUUUAGAUUGAAAUAGUGCAGCUGAAUGGGAUAAUUUUUCCAGCUCUCUAAGGCUACUUUGGACUUAAGUUUAAAAUCCCCAUCUCAAUUCCCUGUAAUUCUCUCUUUAUUGAGUAGACCCUGUAAUCUGCACUAUAAAUAGGUGGGAAUUAAUUAUGAAGGUUUGACAUAGUGGGCUUUGCAGCAGUGGGUGUGGUUAAUUUUCAUGGUAGGAAUUGAUAGCGGUGCUGCAAAGUGUCCCUGGAAUUUUUUUUCAAAUGUCGACAACUAUGCAUUCGGCUCCACUCAGGAGCUGACGUUGAUGGAGGAGGAGAGGUCACCCGUGCUGAGAGAACCCGGCGCUGGAUUAAGGUAAGAAAAUAAAUGGUUAAUUAACCAUUUAUUCGCAGCGGAAGGGGCCCUAGUCUCCAUUUAGGUGACUAGGGCUCUAUAGCGUUAGGAGUAUAUAUUUGUAUUCCUAACGCUAUAGUGUUCCUUUAAGUGAGGGAAAUAAUUUUUAUAAUGACUGUUUUAAUUCUAUUCAUAAUGAUUUCCUUUAUGUUAAAAAAAAAAGGAAGUAAAUCUAAAUGAGUAUUACUGACUUUCUUUAAUCCCAUAAGGACACAUGACAUGUGUGACAUGUCAUGAUUCCCUUUUAUUCCAGAAGUUUGGUCCUUAAGGGGUUAAAUAAGACUUCUUUGCCAGAGUUCUAUUUUGGAAUCCACAAAGAAGUGAAAUACCCAGGUCUAUAAACGGCUAUCAUGUAUUUAUUUUUAUUUUUUUAAUUCUAUAACCCCCUUCAUGGAAUUAGUCAAAAAGGUAUUUACCCCACUCCCUCUAGCAUGUAAGCUCAUUGAGCAGGACCCUCAACCCCUCUGUUCCUGUGUGUCCAACUUGUCUGGUUACAACUACAUGUCUGUUCGUCCACCCAUUGUAAAGCGCUGCGGAAUUUGACUGCGCUCUAUAAAUAUCAUAAUAAUAAUAAUAAUAAUAAUAAGUUCUUACAGUGCCACCUAGUGUACAAACGCAGUAUGGGGACUUAUCAAAAGUGAAUAUCAGGCGACACAUGCUCCAUUACCAUGUCUUUUGUAACUAGACACUCCUAAUUGCCAUUUCAAGGCUCUUUUGAUGGACUUGUUAUGACCGAGAUGAGUAAUAUGCACCCACAGAGUAGUCUGCUGCUUACUAAACUAUACCUGUUGUGACGUUCAAUAUUUCCAAAGGAACUUUUUAUUCCACGGUUACAGAGAGAUAAACCUGUAAACUCGGACUUUGACAUAUGAAAUCUACACACAAGCCUGAUGGGCAUACAUCACGCAGACUAACUUCAUCCAGUGCUAAACACAUAGCACUGGCUAACACCGCUGCUCAGGCAAUUACUGCAGCAGGCAAUUUUUUGUUGAGUAGCAUCUUUUCAGUAACAGAUUCUGACCCAACAUGGUUGCCAAGACAGAUACAAAAAAAGGUGAAUUUGUAAAAACUAAAGAUAAAAAAAAAUCUAAAAUAAUAGUUUCACUAAAAUUACUAAACUAAAUCUGCCUUUACACCUUUAAGUAAACUAUUGAUAAUGCUAUACUUUAACACCUAAAUGAACCCAAGUAUAUCAUUCUAUAAUUAUAUUUAAGCAAAUUUUUUGAUAUACAGUGACAAUUUAUUGGCUGCAAUUAACU
Non-coding RNA from Pelobates cultripes (western spadefoot toad), 1781 nucleotides. The record is from the annotation of a GenBank genome assembly. NCBI's taxonomy places the organism in Eukaryota, Metazoa, Chordata, Amphibia, Anura, Pelobatidae.